RNAcentral lists this ribosomal RNA (227 nucleotides) under uncultured bacterium. RNAcentral's name for it is "partial 16S ribosomal RNA". It matches the Rfam family "Bacterial small subunit ribosomal RNA", at positions 15 to 231 of the family's 1533-position model. The record is from RNAcentral.
GAUCAUGGCUCACGAUGAACGCUAGCUACAGGCUUAACACAUGCAAGUCGAGGGGGCGAGCAUGGUCUUAGCUUGCUAAGGCCGAUGGCGACCGGCGCACGGGUGAGUAACACGUAUCCAACCUGCCGUCUACUCUUGGACAGCCUUCUGAAAGGAAGAUUAAUACAAGAUGGCAUCAUGAGUCCGCAUGUUCACAUGAUUAAAGGUAUUCCGGUAGACGAUGGGGA